AUGGCAACGCCCUCGCCCUCAUCUUCACUCCUCCUCGAGGGCCGCCCUCCGGGCCUCUGGCCGCCGCCGGAGUGGAAGAAGAAGACAAAGCCACAGGCGGUUACCAGAGACUGGGCGGACCUGCCGCGUGAUGCGCUUCUACUGGUGCUCGAGAAACUGCACCAGGUGGACGUUCUCCGGGGACCUGAGCUGGUGUGUCGUCCCUGGCACCUGGCUGCCCGCGACGAGCCGUCCUUGUGGCGCCGCAUAGAUUUGCGGUUAAGCCAUCUCCCCGACCCCUCUUCCGUCUGGCGCUUCCACGAGAUGGGCUGCGCCGCCGUCCGGCGCAGCCGUGGGAGCUGUGAGGCGGUGUACAGCGAGGGCGCCAUCGAUGAAGAGGCCAUAUCUCUCCUGGUAGAGUCGGCGCACUUGUUGAAGAGUCUUCGACUCAUCAACUGUAUUUGGAUCAAUGAUAGGAUCUGCUAUAACAUAUCACAUUUAGUUAUGCUUGAGGAGCUAGAAAUCUCAAACUGUGGUGUCCGCAAGUUCUCUUCCACAUGCUUCGCGGUUGGAUACUCUUGCCCGCACCUGAAGCGUUUCCGUCUCAGCAGUUCAUGUUUCAUUAAACGGCCUGUCUGGGGCGCGGUUGAUUGCGAAGUUGAGGGCAUCACCCGGAUGCGUGGGCUACGUUCCUUGCAGCUCUUUGCUCAGACUAUUAGCACAACUGGUUUGGCAGCCAUCCUCGAUAGCUGUGUGCAAUUAGAUUCUCUUGACAUUCGCCAUUGUUUCCAUGUUGAGAUGGGAGAUGAGUUAAUGUCAAGGUGUUCUAAGUUUGAGAUUUUAAGGCUCCCACAUGAUUCUACUGACGACUACGAUCUUGAGUUUUCAGCCCCAGAUAUGAGCACUGAGAGCCCACGACCACGACGCAUGCGCAAUUAUGGGGACGAGGGCGGUGCCUUUUUGGAGGAUGUAUAUUAG
Molecule: ribosomal RNA, 957 nt
Filed under: Triticum aestivum (bread wheat)
Lineage: Eukaryota; Viridiplantae; Streptophyta; Magnoliopsida; Poales; Poaceae
Description: partial small subunit ribosomal RNA
Source: RNAcentral